RNAcentral lists this unclassified non-coding RNA (373 nucleotides) under Hevea brasiliensis (rubber tree). Lineage: Eukaryota; Viridiplantae; Streptophyta; Magnoliopsida; Malpighiales; Euphorbiaceae. The record is from RNAcentral.
UUAUUAUUAUGCCAUCCUUACAACUAUGGCCCGUUGAUUAUCCAAAUUGUAUAAUUUUGAGGCCUUUGUUUGUUCAUCAAGGAUCUCCCACUUUAUAGUUUUCUGGUAAUUGGUUGAUGUUAAAUAGUGCCUAAUAAUUUUUGAAGCAAAAGGGUUUUUUUUGUAAAAUCUAAUAUACGUGGGAGGCCCGAAUAGAUGUCACUUGGUUGAAAUUUAAAUGAAGUUGUUUCCUCCUGGUUGAUUUUUGCAAACAUGAAUAUCAAUACGGAGUUUAUAGAAUUUUUUCUCAUUGUCCACUUCUUUUUAACUCUCUACUCACAAUAAUUUGAAUUUUUUCCCUCAUUUUACAGGCAUCCCAAAUAGUACAAGCAGC